Long non-coding RNA from Jatropha curcas, 753 nucleotides. RefSeq lists it as uncharacterized. The record is from RefSeq and is a predicted model, not a curated record. Lineage: Eukaryota; Viridiplantae; Streptophyta; Magnoliopsida; Malpighiales; Euphorbiaceae.
UUUUAAAAAAAAAAAAAAAAAAAAAAAAAAUCCUUAACAUUUUUUAUGGCUUUAGCAGGAAGCUUUGUGCAUAAGACCUCGUUCCCACUCCCAGUGGCCACUUCAAGGCUCAUAUGCUAUCCACGUAAAACUGUGAUCAUAAGAUGUGCUGGCCCUCCUAAGCAACCAAAAAUCAGUUCUGGUAGCGGUCCACAGAUCAACGUUGGACCCAAAACCUUGAAAAAAUCUCAAAGAGAAAAAGAGAUUAGUCUUGUAAAAGAAACUAAGAAGAGUAAAGGAAAAGUAGAUGAUGACACUGCAAUGGAAACCGAGACCUCUAAAUAAGGGUUACGUCUGGCAAUUUUUAGCAUUGGUUCUUCUAGAGUGAUAAAACUACGAGUAGCAACCCGGCCUGCUGGGGUGAGAGAAGCCUAAUUAACUGUUAUUAAAAGAAAAUAAAAAUUAGUAUUUCUCUCUGCCCUCAACUGUCAAGAAGUGUACCGUUUGUUUUUAUGUUGGUAGCUAGAGUUAGUGUUUGAUUUCCUGUUGUUAGAGACAGACUAAGGUCAGUGUUUCAUGUUGGAUGUUAUGUAUAUUUGUAUGUUUUAAGUCAAGUAUUGCUUAUUACUUCAUAAAUGUAUGUCUGGAUUUGAACGCAAGUUGUUUGUAGUUGUAAUGAUAGAAAAAUUAGAAUAUGGUUUGCAUUUAGUUACUGCUAAAAAUAUUUGUAGCCUUAAUAUGCAUGCUUAAUGUGGAAUUUGUUCUCUUUUUUCA